GACGAACGCUGGCGGCGUGCUUAACACAUGCAAGUCGAACGGGGCUCAUCGCUUCGGUGGUGGGUCUAGUGGCGAACGGGUGAGUAACACGUGGGCAACCUGCCCCCGGCUCUGGGAUAACUCCAAGAAAUUGGGGUUAAUACCGGAUGUGACCGCUGGCCGCAUGGUCUGGUGGUGGAAAGGGUUUCCGGCUGGGGAUGGGCCCGCGGCCUAUCAGCUUGGUGGUGGGGUAGUGGCCUACCAAGGCGACGACGGGUAGCCGGCCUGGGGGGGUGACCGGCCACACUGGGACUGGGACACGGCCCAGACGCCUACGGGAGGCAGCAGUGGGGAAUAUUGCGCAAUGGGCGGAAGCCUGACGCAGCGACGCCGCGUGGGGGAUGACGGCCUUCGGGUUGUAAACCUCUUUCAGCAGGGACGAAGCCGCGAGGUGACGGUACCUGCAGAAGAAGCACCGGCCAACUACGUGCCAGCAGCCGCCGUAA
Molecule: ribosomal RNA, 485 nt
Filed under: uncultured bacterium
Lineage: Bacteria
Description: partial 16S ribosomal RNA
Rfam family: Bacterial small subunit ribosomal RNA
Source: RNAcentral